RNAcentral lists this ribosomal RNA (407 nucleotides) under uncultured bacterium. Its description in RNAcentral is "partial 16S ribosomal RNA". It matches the Rfam family "Bacterial small subunit ribosomal RNA", at positions 30 to 526 of the family's 1533-position model. The record is from RNAcentral.
AUUGAACGCUGGCGGCAGGCCUAACACAUGCAAGUCGAGCGGAGCGGCGGACGGGUGAGUAAUGCCUAGGAAUCUGCCUGGUAGUGGGGGAUAACGUCCGGAAACGGACGCUAUUACAGCAUACUAUCAGAUGAGCCUAGGUCGGAUUAGCUAGAUGGUGGGGUAAAGGCUUAGCAAGGCGACGAUCCGUAACUGGUCUGAGAGGAUGAUCAGUCACACUGGAACUGAGACACGGUCCAGACUCCUACGUGAGGCAGGAGUGGGGAAUAUUGGACAAUGGGCGAAAGCCUGAUCCAGCCAUGCCGCGUGUGUGAAGAAGGGCUUCGGAUUGUAAAGCACUUUAAGUUGGGAGGCGUUACCAACAGAAUAAGCACCGGCUAACUCCGUGCCAGCAGCCGCGGUAAUAC